This 253-nucleotide ribosomal RNA is filed under the name uncultured bacterium. RNAcentral describes it as "partial 16S ribosomal RNA". It matches the Rfam family "Bacterial small subunit ribosomal RNA", at positions 524 to 776 of the family's 1533-position model. The record is from RNAcentral.
AACGUAGGAGGCGAGCGUUAUCCGGAUUUACUGGGUGUAAAGCGCGUGCAGGCGGUGGUGUAAGUGGAGCGUGAAAGCGCCCGGCUCAACCGGGCGAGGACGUGCCAAACUGCACGACUGGAGGUAGGUAGAGGCGUGUGGAAUUUCGGGUGUAGUGGUGAAAUGCGUAGAGAUCCGGAGGAACACCAGUGGCGAAGGCGACACGCUGGGCCUGACCUGACGCUAAGACGCGAAAGCAUGGGGAGCGAACGGG